Molecule: ribosomal RNA, 338 nt
Filed under: Enterococcus devriesei
Lineage: Bacteria; Bacillati; Bacillota; Bacilli; Lactobacillales; Enterococcaceae
Description: bacterial SSU rRNA
Rfam family: Bacterial small subunit ribosomal RNA
Source: RNAcentral
GUCGUCAGCUCGUGUCGUGAGAUGUUGGGUUAAGUCCCGCAACGAGCGCAACCCUUAUUGUUAGUUGCCAUCAUUUAGUUGGGCACUCUAGCGAGACUGCCGGUGACAAACCGGAGGAAGGUGGGGAUGACGUCAAAUCAUCAUGCCCCUUAUGACCUGGGCUACACACGUGCUACAAUGGGAAGUACAACGAGUCGCGAAGUCGCGAGGCUAAGCUAAUCUCUUAAAGCUUCUCUCAGUUCGGAUUGUAGGCUGCAACUCGCCUACAUGAAGCCGGAAUCGCUAGUAAUCGCGGAUCAGCACGCCGCGGUGAAUACGUUCCCGGGUCUUGUACACAC